This 22-nucleotide microRNA is filed under the name Ornithorhynchus anatinus (platypus). Its description in RNAcentral is "oan-miR-1379". Lineage: Eukaryota; Metazoa; Chordata; Mammalia; Monotremata; Ornithorhynchidae. The record is from miRBase by way of RNAcentral.
CGCGGGCUGAGCGCCUAACGUG